RNAcentral lists this ribosomal RNA (253 nucleotides) under uncultured bacterium. RNAcentral describes it as "partial 16S ribosomal RNA". It matches the Rfam family "Bacterial small subunit ribosomal RNA", at positions 524 to 776 of the family's 1533-position model. The record is from RNAcentral.
UACGGGGGGGGCAAGCGUUGUUCGGAAUUACUGGGCGUAAAGCGCGCGUAGGCGGCUUUGUAAGUUAGAGGUGAAAGCCCGGAGCUCAACUCCGGAACUGCCUUUAAAACUGCAUCGCUUGAAUCCAGGAGAGGUGAGUGGAAUUCCGAGUGUAGAGGUGAAAUUCGUAGAUAUUCGGAAGAACACCAGUGGCGAAGGCGGCUCACUGGACUGGUAUUGACGCUGAGGUGCGAAAGCGUGGGGAGCAAACAGG